RNAcentral lists this non-coding RNA (27 nucleotides) under Rattus norvegicus (Norway rat). Lineage: Eukaryota; Metazoa; Chordata; Mammalia; Rodentia; Muridae. The record is from RNAcentral.
UAAGCUGGCUGUCCAACCCGUAGUGCC